AGCAGCCGCGGUAAUUCCAGCUCCAAUAGCGUAUAUUAAAGUUGUUGCAGUUAAAAAGCUCGUAGUUGAAUUUCGGGAUUGGCGCAUCGGUCGUGCCUCACGGGGUAUGAACUGGUGCAGUCAAUUUCUCACCUUCUGGAGAACCGCGAUGUCCUUAAUUGGAUGCCGCGGGGAACCAGGACCUUUACUUUGAAAAAUUAGAGUGUUUAAAGCAGGCAUUUUUGCUUGAAUACAUUAGCAUGGAAUAAUAAAAUAGGACGGCAUGGUUCUAUUUUGUUGGUUUCUAGGACCACCGUAAUGAUUAAUAGGGAUAGUUGGGGGCAUUAGUAU
Molecule: ribosomal RNA, 330 nt
Filed under: uncultured Glomeromycotina
Lineage: Eukaryota; Fungi; Glomeromycota
Description: SSU rRNA
Rfam family: Eukaryotic small subunit ribosomal RNA
Source: RNAcentral